Non-coding RNA from Chlorocebus sabaeus (green monkey), 1567 nucleotides. NCBI's taxonomy places the organism in Eukaryota, Metazoa, Chordata, Mammalia, Primates, Cercopithecidae. The record is from RefSeq and is a predicted model, not a curated record.
UCAGCAGCCGGCCUGAUGGUGACGUUCCUCAAGGACGGCCUGGCCAGUGCUUCCCCCACCCCGCUGCUCGGCUCUGCUGUGGCUGGGUAUGGCAACAACGACACGUUUUUAUGGUCAAGUUUCACACGAACCGUCUCGCUAACACACAGCACAAACGAUGACCCGAAGCAGACACCAGAAAGGAAAAAAACGAGCCGCAGUGCCGGGCGGGCAUUCCGGGCCUUUCUGAAGACGUCCCCAUCCGUGGCUGGAGGACAGCCCGGGCGGCGGCGGGCGGCCUCGGGGCGGGUGCGUCGGGGCAGGGUACGGCGAGCCCGGGGCUUCCCAGGACCGCCAGGCCGCCUGGACGCUGGGGAGGAAUCCCCACUCCGACGCCUGCUAGGAGGGCACCGACCGCGCUCCACUGUGGCCAGGUCGCCGCCGCUCCGGCCGGCCAACGACAAGCUAGCGCGGCGCCUGUGCGCGCGUGACGUCAGCACGCACGGCGCCAGCCUGUGCGCAGGACGUCAGCACGCACGGCGUCGGUACGUGCGCGCCCAGAGGUUCCGCGCGGCGGCAGUGCCAGCGGAGCUUGCGGGUGCGGGUGGGACCGGGUUUCGUCUGUGGGCCCGGGGGCGGCGGGGGCCGCGGAGUGAGGGGCCGGCUGAGCCCACCACCUCGCUGGGCCCUCCCUGGCGCCCGGCCUCGGGCGGCGGCGAGCGCUCGGGUCGCCAUGUCGUACAUGCUCCCGCACCUGCACAACGGCUGGCAGGUGGACCAGGCCAUCCUCUCGGAGGAGGACCGCGUGGUCGUCAUCCGCUUCGGCCACGACUGGGACCCCACCUGCAUGAAGAUGGACGAGGUCCUGUACAGCAUCGCCGAGAAGGUGGUGGCAUAAACAUCAGCUGGUGUUCAGAUCCUGCUGCCGGCAGCUCGAGGCUAGGAUGGCUGGCGAUGUGAGGGCCUUUGUCUCAUCACAUCCAGGCAGAGCCCAGCAAGAUGCUCUUAGCUAGGAAACAGAUUUUAUGUGUUAAUGUUAAAAAUUUUGCAGUUAUUUAUCUUGUGGAUAUUACAGAAGUACCUGACUUCAACAAAAUGUAUGAGUUAUACGAUCCGUGUACUGUCAUGUUUUUCUUCAGGAACAAGCACAUCAUGAUUGACUUGGGGACUGGCAACAACAACAAGAUUAACUGGGCCAUGGAGGACAAGCAGGAGAUGGUGGACAUCAUAGAGACUGUGUACCGUGGGGCCCGCAAAGGCCGCGGCCUGGUGGUGUCCCCCAAGGACUACUCCACCAAGUACCGCUACUGAGGCACCUCAGUCUGCGCGGAUAAACGUCCUGGAGCCCUUUUUGUGUGGAAAUGUUUUAAGCUAUUUAAAGCCUUUGGAAAAUACAGGAAGCUCGAGGGCUGGAGGACCUCUGAGAUGGAAUUGAUUACAUGGUCUUAACUCACCAAAAUAAACAAGCACGUGGUGAGAGGAGCAGGCCUACUUGUUUGUUCUCAGGAAUCUUGAUGAAUAGAUGACUGAUUUUUCCUAGUCAAAGUUAAUUCCUAUCCUUGGAGUAAAACGAAGGUGUUUAUCCUGU